Long non-coding RNA from Pogoniulus pusillus (Red-fronted tinkerbird), 695 nucleotides. RefSeq lists it as uncharacterized. Lineage: Eukaryota; Metazoa; Chordata; Aves; Piciformes; Lybiidae. The record is from RefSeq and is a predicted model, not a curated record. The transcript is spliced from 2 exons.
GGCAUCACAGACAGUUGCCGAGUGAAGAUUUAACUGGAUGUUGGCAGCCUGGCACAGAAAUGCAGCGUUGCCCUGGGUUACAGCUACAGCCCAGCUCUGGCUGUUACCAGGAGCAGACCCUGGAUGCCUGCAGGCGAUUGGCCUGUGUGGCCAGCUGACAUCAUGCUGAGACUGCACCACAUCUGCCUCUGCACCUGAAGGUCCUGCCUAGAAUCCCUGGACAUAUACACAGAUAGUCCAGAAGAACCCAGCAGACAAGGGCAGAGAUUGGCUGCGUCCUGUCCCCAGGAGCUGGGAAGAUUCAAGUCUCAACGUCCAACAAGACAGAGUCCCCUGAAAGCAUCUGGGCACUGCCUGGACUGUGGCUAAGUCCCCACAAGGGUAAUAAUAAUAAUUUGUGAGUAAAUGCUGAAAUGCCUCUUUGUAAUUCUCUGCUGCCUUCUGCCAUAAGCAGAAAGAGCCUGAGCCCAGCUACUGGGCGAGCAGCAUAUUGACCGCAAGCAGCGUUUGACCGCGGGACCUUCUCUUGCAGUUCAAUCAAGGUUUAUCUGUUUUGCUGGUUAUUACUGGACCUGGAUAUUACCCACAGAAUGUUUCCAUGACCAUGUAAGAACCAAAACAUUCUUAAAAUUAGUGGUUGGGGGUGGUGAGAGCUCUGAAUAGCAAAAUCAAUAAACAAUAUUAAUUACGGAAAA